GGUCAGGUAGCCUAGUAGUUAAGGCAGCCCAUGCGUGUUUGGGUCCGGAUCCAUUGGAUCUGGUCGCUGGUUUGAUUCCAGCCCCGACCA
This 90-nucleotide transfer RNA is filed under the name Cronartium comandrae C4. RNAcentral's name for it is "tRNA-Und (NNN) (tRNA-Und-NNN-41-1)". It matches the Rfam family "tRNA". Rfam says of the family: Transfer RNA (tRNA) molecules are approximately 80 nucleotides in length. Their secondary structure includes four short double-helical elements and three loops (D, anti-codon, and T loops). The record is from RNAcentral. Lineage: Eukaryota; Fungi; Basidiomycota; Pucciniomycetes; Pucciniales; Coleosporiaceae.